RNAcentral lists this ribosomal RNA (56 nucleotides) under Saponaria mesogitana. RNAcentral's name for it is "partial 28S ribosomal RNA". Lineage: Eukaryota; Viridiplantae; Streptophyta; Magnoliopsida; Caryophyllales; Caryophyllaceae. The record is from RNAcentral.
CCCAGGUCAGGCGGGGCUACCCGCUGAAUUUAAGCAUAUCAAUAAGGCGGGAGGAA